RNAcentral lists this ribosomal RNA (497 nucleotides) under uncultured bacterium. Its description in RNAcentral is "partial 16S ribosomal RNA". It matches the Rfam family "Bacterial small subunit ribosomal RNA", at positions 28 to 507 of the family's 1533-position model. The record is from RNAcentral.
GACGAACGCUGGCGGCGUGCCUAAUACAUGCAAGUAGAACGCUGAAGCUUGGUGCUUGCACCGAGCGGCUGAGUUGCGGACGGGUGAGUAACGCGUUGGCACCCUGCCUGGUAGCGGGGGAUAACUAUUGGAAACGAUAGCUAAUACCGCAUAAGAGUAGAUGUUGCAUGAUAUUUGCUUAGAAGGUGCAAUUGCAUCACUACCAGAUUGACCUGCGUUGUAUUAGCUAGUUGGUGAGGUAACGGCUCACCAAGGCAACGAUACAUAGCCGACCUGAGAGGGUGAUCGGCCACACUGGGACUGAGACACGGCCCAGACUCCUACGGGAGGCAGCAGUAGGGAAUCUUCGGCAAUGGACGGAAGUCUGACCGAGCAACGCCGCGUGAGUGAAGAAGGUUUUCGGAUCGUAAAGCUCUGUUGUAAGAGAAGAACGAGUGUGAGAGUGGAAAGUUCACACUGUGACGGUAUCUUACCAGAAAGGGACGGCUAACUACGUG